AGAGUUUGAUCCUGGCUCAGAUUGAACGCUGGCGGCAGGCCUAACACAUGCAAGUCGAACGGUAGCACAGAGGAGCUUGCUCCUUGGGUGACGAGUGGCGGACGGGUGAGUAAUGUCUGGGAAACUGCCCGAUGGAGGGGGAUAACUACUGGAAACGGUAGCUAAUACCGCAUAACGUCUUCGGACCAAAGUGGGGGACCUUCGGGCCUCACACCAUCGGAUGUGCCCAGAUGGGAUUAGCUAGUAGGUGGGGUAAUGGCUCACCUAGGCGACGAUCCCUAGCUGGUCUGAGAGGAUGACCAGCCACACUGGAACUGAGACACGGUCCAGACUCCUACGGGAGGCAGCAGUGGGGAAUAUUGCACAAUGGGCGCAAGCCUGAUGCAGCCAUGCCGCGUGUAUGAAGAAGGCCUUCGGGUUGUAAAGUACUUUCAGCGGGGAGGAAGGCGAUGUGGUUAAUAACCGCAUCGAUUGACGUUACCCGCAGAAGAAGCACCGGCUAACUCCGUGCCAGCAGCCGCGGUAAUACGGAGGGUGCAAGCGUUAAUCGGAAUUACUGGGCGUAAAGCGCACGCAGGCGGUCUGUCAAGUCGGAUGUGAAAUCCCCGGGCUUAACCUGGGAACUGCAUUCGAAACUGGCAGGCUAGAGUCUUGUAGAGGGGGGUAGAAUUCCAGGUGUAGCGGUGAAAUGCGUAGAGAUCUGG
RNAcentral lists this ribosomal RNA (704 nucleotides) under Erwinia sp. AUEY28. RNAcentral's name for it is "bacterial SSU rRNA". It matches the Rfam family "Bacterial small subunit ribosomal RNA", at positions 8 to 701 of the family's 1533-position model. Lineage: Bacteria; Pseudomonadati; Pseudomonadota; Gammaproteobacteria; Enterobacterales; Erwiniaceae. The record is from RNAcentral.